This 63-nucleotide transfer RNA is filed under the name Polyplax serrata (house mouse louse). Its description in RNAcentral is "tRNA-Leu". The record is from RNAcentral. Lineage: Eukaryota; Metazoa; Arthropoda; Insecta; Psocodea; Polyplacidae.
CUCUUUAUGGCAGAUAAAGUGCAUUGAAUUUAAGAUUCAAAAAUAAACUUAGUUUUAAGGAGA